CGUGCUGGGCAGUGCUGCUGCUCCUUUGGAGGACAGGAUCUUACCUGGAGACUGCGGGGUCCCUUGGGAGCAGCUUGGAUGCCAGUUUGUCCUGGUGCGUGCCAGGAAGCCUGGGAUGGGGUAAGGAAGAAGCACUUCAUCUCGCAGCCCUUCCAGACACAAAGCUUUGCUGCUGCCCCAGCCGUCCUGCACAGCCCGAGCUCAUCUCACAGGCAACAUCAGAGCACGUGGGGCAUGCUCACAGAAGUCUGAAUUGCCUAGAUGCAGCUGGAACGGGACGGCUGAGAAGUUGCUAUUACAGCAGUCUCCUCGGUUUAAGCUUGUGCUUUGGGAGAGACGACAAGGGGUCUGUGUAUCCAAAAAGCAAGCAGCCCGUGGCUUCUCUACAGAUGUCCCCUGAGGUUUUGAAGCACAUCUAAAGCAGGUUGCGUGGCUGACAUGACACAAGCCUGUAACACAGCAGCAGCAGCCGAUAUCUCCCAGCUCCCCGGCCCCGCGCAUCGCACCGGGCAGGAGCCCGCGUGCACUCACAGCAGCAGCCCACGGACGCUGCGGAUGGCAGCACCCACAGCCAUCACGCGGCCGCACGUUUCGCUACGUGCUGGGCUCCACAGAUGAGUGCAUCCAGCAGCAGCAAGAGCCCCCGAUGACUAAUCCUGGCCGGAGCUGCUCUCUGUAUUACGCACCGCAGCGUUCGCUCCCCAGCGGGCUUGGACCGGGGACGGCGAGCCCUGCCCGCCCUGUGGUUGUCACCUCGCCAGCCCCCGGGGACACAGGCGGCCACGCAAGGGUUGUGGCAGUAUGAGAGCCGGCAGCACCCUUUGGGACAGGUUCCUGCACUGAUACUACGCCGACCAGCUGACUCCACAAAACUACAAGAGCUGUUUUUGCUGCUGAGGCGAGCAGAUUUUCAAGAACCAGCUCAUCCCUGGAGCACCACGGCGGAGCGGAAUGUGGGACACGGACAUCUUGGCCUCUUCAAUCCCAAAGCUACAAACGCUUCCACCACAUGUGCACACCAAGCCCUCGGGAGCUCAGGACACCAGACUGGGAAGAUGGAUGCUGAAGACAGCAGGGCUGUACCAGCUGUUUUGGAAACAGGACGCCUCCACCCGGCCUUUACAACCCAUACCAUCAAGGCGGUUAUUAAACUGAUACUUGCCACCUUCAGUGAUGAUUUUGGCUGGCGCCAAGCGGCACCGCAGCGAGGGAGCGGCGCGAGCCACCGAGCAUCCUCCCAGCCAGCUUUCAGCCCUCCUCCAGCCCCAGCAGCAAGGGCUGGGCACAGGGCAGACACCGCAGCGCUGGUUUCCAUUUCCUGCUGCAUGCUGUACCCCCCCCCUGCUAUUGCAAGAAGGGGCAUAGGCCACAUCCUGAGAUCAGACGGCCAUCCUUACCCAAAGCUCGUAACAUGA
This 1415-nucleotide long non-coding RNA is filed under the name Anas platyrhynchos (mallard). Its description in RNAcentral is "lncRNA (ENSAPLG00020015385.1)". Lineage: Eukaryota; Metazoa; Chordata; Aves; Anseriformes; Anatidae. The record is from RNAcentral.